This 497-nucleotide ribosomal RNA is filed under the name uncultured bacterium. RNAcentral describes it as "partial 16S ribosomal RNA". It matches the Rfam family "Bacterial small subunit ribosomal RNA", at positions 28 to 507 of the family's 1533-position model. The record is from RNAcentral.
GAUGAACGCUGGCGGCGUGCCUAAUACAUGCAAGUCGAGCGAACGGACGAGAAGCUUGCUUUUCUGAUGUUAGCGGCGGACGGGUGAGUAACACGUGGAUAACCUACCUAUAAGACUGGGAUAACUUCGGGAAACCGGAGCUAAUACCGGAUAAUAUUUUGAACCGCAUGGUUCAAAAGUGAAAGACGGUCUUGCUGUCACUUAUAGAUGGAUCCGCGCUGCAUUAGCUAGUUGGUAAGGUAACGGCUUACCAAGGCAACGAUGCAUAGCCGACCUGAGAGGGUGGUCGGCCACACUGGAACUGAGACACGGUCCAGACUCCUACGGGGAGCAGCAGUAGGGAAUCUUCCGCAAUUGGCGGAAGCCUGACGGGGCAACGCCGCGUGAGUGAUGAAGGUCUUCGGAUCGUAAAACUCUGUUAUUAGGGAAGAACAUAUGUGUAAGUAACUGUGCACAUCUUGACGGUACCUAAUCAGAAAGCCACGGCUAACUACGUG